This 100-nucleotide transfer RNA is filed under the name Acidobacteriota bacterium. RNAcentral's name for it is "tRNA-Sec". It matches the Rfam family "Selenocysteine transfer RNA". The record is from RNAcentral. Lineage: Bacteria; Pseudomonadati; Acidobacteriota.
GGAAGCGCUCAGGGGCUGGUGCCUCUCACGGUCUUCAAAACCGCUGUCCCGUGCCGGUUGCGGCAUGGGGGGUGGGUUCGAUUCCCAUGCGCUUCCGCCA